Long non-coding RNA from Oenanthe melanoleuca, 1536 nucleotides. RefSeq lists it as uncharacterized. Lineage: Eukaryota; Metazoa; Chordata; Aves; Passeriformes; Muscicapidae. The transcript is spliced from 2 exons. The record is from RefSeq and is a predicted model, not a curated record.
GCCGCGCAGCCAUCGCCCCCGCCCGCGGGGCUCGGCCGGGCACAGCGCGGGGCGUGGGGCGGAGGGAGGGAGCGGGGAGGGGCCGCCAGGGGAGAGGAAGCCGGAGGGAUGGAGCUGGUGCUGUUCGCUCCCCGCUGUGUUUCCCCGGGGUCGGGUCUCUCUGCUGGGGUGUCCCUGCGCUGGGGUGACGGAGCAGGCGGGCAGGCGUGCGCUCUGCUGGGCUGCGGCACAGCCGCUCUCUCUUUCAGGCCUUUAGCAAAGCAGGAGAUGCUACCUGCACCCGGCUCUGGGUAAAUCCCUGCAUGGGCAAAGCAGUGCCCCUGCCCGUGGUACCUGCGGUGGAGGGAUUGGGGAUCUGCCUUUCAGCACGCUGCCGUGCCCACGCCAGGCCUGUCCUCUUCCUGCGGAUUGUUGGGCGUCUGUGGCUUUGCCAUCAUGGUUUUCUCUGAGAGAUGAACUUUGCAGCCUGAAUGGCUUGUAUGCCAUGAGGGUAAUAUUCAAGGUCCUUAAGCCACGGAAGCUGAAAGGAGAAUUUUAUGUCCUUCCCACCGCCCAUGAGCUACCAGUGAAAUUUUAAUUUUGUGACUGAAGGCUUGUCCUGCUUGGGCCUUGUGUUUGAUGAAGAAGGUUGCAGUAGAGUAGCAAGGGCAGGCUGAGAUGCUGAUAGGGCUGGUGGUGUGGGAAGCCCUGGUGUUGUGAUAGAACCCAGGAUAGAAUAUCCUGAUGGCUGCUGAAGGUUGUUCUGUCCUGCUCUGGCUGCCCUUGCCGUGCCCAGUUUGUAGGAUCAGCGGAUAACUCGGGCUGAAGAGAUGUCAGCAUCCCUGAGUCCAGCCUCCUGCUCAUCCCAGAGACAGCUUCAGGAUCAGAUCAGCUCAGGCAACUUGGACCCAUCUGGAGGUCAUUCACUGUAAGAGGCCUAUGGACACUAAAGAGAGCUUAACUCAGAAGAGCCAGUGGCUACAAGGAAGCUCCUGUUGAGCCUCUCUGCAGCAUGUCCUGCACAAAUGGAACCGUGGGGAAACUGAGAUGAUAAAUCUGCUUCUCUUGAGCAUGCACAAAGCUGUGUCCUCCAAGCUCUGGAAAGGUCCAGACUCUUAACAGAUUUCUUGGGAUUUAAAAAAAGCUUAUUCAAAAGCUUUCAGAAUCUCAAGUCUCUGCUUGAACGUCUAGAACCCAUGGAAGAAAGCUAGCCAGUUGGGGGGGUUUAAUGUACUCCAAACAAGAUAUAGGUGUUUAAUAUAGAUUAAUGUUUUUAUCUAUAAUUAUUAAUAAAAAUACCUUCAUCUUGAUUUGGUGUAUGCUGUGAAACUUUUUAGUUGAAAUGGUUCAAGGUUAGGGCAAAAUUGCAAGAAAAUAAAACUAGGUUCUUGUAAUGAGAGAUGCAUGGUGACCUUCAGAAUGUUCAUUAUCAGCUUCCCUUGCCAAUCUAGUGAUGCAUAUGCACAAAUAAAUAAUUGUCUAUGAAUUGGACAGUAGACUGAUUGUCAUGAAGGUUUUCUUCAUUAAAGCUGUAUUGCAGUUUGAUUUUGUACAUCA